This 117-nucleotide transfer RNA is filed under the name Candidatus Naiadarchaeales archaeon SRR2090153.bin461. RNAcentral describes it as "tRNA-Ser". RNAcentral also lists the same sequence under 1 other name. Lineage: Archaea; Nanobdellati; Candidatus Undinarchaeota; Candidatus Undinarchaeia; Candidatus Naiadarchaeales. The record is from RNAcentral.
GCCAACGUGGCACAACUCGGUACUGCGCAAGCCUGGAAAGCUUGUUUCCGCAAGGAUGUCCCGGUUCAAAGUGGCCCGUAAACAAAUCUGCAGGCUAAGAAAAUCCGGGCGUUGGCG